This 81-nucleotide non-coding RNA is filed under the name unclassified sequences. The record is from RNAcentral.
AUUUGCCGUCUAUGGUGCGGGUAUCGGAAACGACCCGGGCGCCUCAUAUUGAGCGUUAGGACACCUUACGACGGCUUUUUU